GCAUAUCAAUAAGCGGAGGAAAAGAAACUAACUAGGAUGCCCUUAGUAACGGCGAGCGAACCGGGCAAAGCCCAACUUGAAAAUCUCCAGCCUCCGGCUGGCGAAUUGUAGUCUAUAGAAGUGCUUUCUGCUUCAGUCCGGCCCCAAGUCCCCUGGAAAGGGGCGUCAGAGAGGGUGAGAACCCCGUUGGGACCGGAUCCUGAGGCUCCACGAAACGCUUUCGAAGAGUCGGGUUGCUUGGGAAUGCAGCCCAAAGAAGGUGGUAAAUCCCAUCUAAGGCUAAAUACAGACGGGAGACCGAUAGCGAACAAGUACCGUGAGGGAAAGAUGAAAAGAACUUUGAAAAGAGAGUUAAAAAGUGCUUGAAAUUGUUGAGAGGGAAGUGAUUAGAUCGUACGGGUGCGCCCAGGCACACGCCUGCCUAACGGUUGGCUGAAUGCGCUGGGUGCUGGUCAGCAUGGGUUGACCGGGCGGGACAAACCCGGGGAUUGUUACCCCGGCUAUGUCGCCUGGUCGAUCGAGGAAAGAAUGGCGCUCUCUGAGUCCUUCGGGAACUGCGUCAUCAAGAUGCUGGCGGAAACGUUCUAAUCAGCCCGUCUUGAAACACGGACC
This 612-nucleotide ribosomal RNA is filed under the name Micractinium sp. KNUA029. RNAcentral describes it as "eukaryotic LSU rRNA". It matches the Rfam family "Eukaryotic large subunit ribosomal RNA", at positions 38 to 667 of the family's 3401-position model. The record is from RNAcentral. Lineage: Eukaryota; Viridiplantae; Chlorophyta; Trebouxiophyceae; Chlorellales; Chlorellaceae.